AAAGAAGGCAGCAAUUCAUUGAUAUGACAAGUUUAACUAAUUUUCAAAAAUAAUGAGUUGCAUUGCAUGUUGCAUUUCUAAGUGGGUCCCAAGUCUCUGUAAACUUGAGAAUGCUAAUUUGUCCAAACACUGAUUUGUUUGUACUGCUGCCUUCCUACUUUAAAAUAUUUGAGUAAGCGAAGAAUGACGAUUAAUAAUUCAGUUGCUUUUAACUUCGGCAAUAUAAACUUUAAAAGAUCCUUCAUUAAUUAAUUUUUUGGGUGCUGGAAAUUAAGAUAAUUAUGAUUUUUUU
This 292-nucleotide unclassified non-coding RNA is filed under the name Hevea brasiliensis (rubber tree). The record is from RNAcentral. Lineage: Eukaryota; Viridiplantae; Streptophyta; Magnoliopsida; Malpighiales; Euphorbiaceae.